GCUGCAGAUGAAAGUCAUCUGCUGUAGAAGCUCAGACGGGGACUUUCUGUUGGAGAAGUUUGACUGGAGUCUGAUUGCUAGAGAAAUUCAUCUGAAAUUUGCCUGAUGUAGAAGCUCGUCGGAGGACUGUCCGCUGGAGGGGUCCAAUUCUGGUAGGAGUCCAGAAAGAGGCCGCUUACAGUAGAAGCUUGGACGAAGAUCGGUUGCCAUGGA
Molecule: long non-coding RNA, 213 nt
Filed under: Elaeis guineensis (African oil palm)
Lineage: Eukaryota; Viridiplantae; Streptophyta; Magnoliopsida; Arecales; Arecaceae
Description: long non-coding RNA (EGUI_LNC042553)
Source: RNAcentral